AUCAAGAGACUCCAUUCCUGUAGCCUUUGCACAAUCCUUGGGUAGGCAGGUACCAUUAAUAUUUUUUUGAUUCUUAAAUUACAGCAUAUGACCUGGCAGAAUAGUUAAAGUUAACCCUGUUCUGGAAAGUCUGAGACAUGAGUAUGGGUCCCCUCAAAAAUUGUCAGCAAAUUAUAUUUCUAUGAAUUGAAUUGUAUUUCAAUGCCUUUGUGAAAUCAGAGCUUUAAAGAUA
RNAcentral lists this long non-coding RNA (232 nucleotides) under Bos taurus (domestic cattle). RNAcentral's name for it is "long non-coding RNA NONBTAT018969". Lineage: Eukaryota; Metazoa; Chordata; Mammalia; Artiodactyla; Bovidae. The record is from RNAcentral.